This 487-nucleotide unclassified non-coding RNA is filed under the name Hevea brasiliensis (rubber tree). The record is from RNAcentral. Lineage: Eukaryota; Viridiplantae; Streptophyta; Magnoliopsida; Malpighiales; Euphorbiaceae.
UGUGAAUAUUGACAUUUAACAAGUACUUGGUGAAUGCUGUUUAUUUUAUAAGAUUUGUUGCAUGAAGUGGACAUAUAUGCGUAAAAUUUCCUGCUUAGUCGGGGUAAUAGUCCAUUUGGUUGCUUCAGGAAGAUUUGAAAUUAUGAAUCACUCUGAAUCUUACAGGUUUUUGGUUUGGCUUUUCUAUUUUCACUAAUUUCUUUGCAUUCAAAUGGCAUUAACAUGGACACGAGUGUCAUCUUCUCAUGGACAUGGGUGCCAAAGAUGUUGCAAAAUCUUUUAGACGGACAUGGCUAUUUAUAAUUUUGUUUGAGAAUGUAAAUAUAUGUCUUAUAAGUUUAUAUUCUGCCCUUUUCAACUUUUUUGCCUUAAAAUCUAUUGGAUUACUUUGAAAUUGCCUAGAUUUGUGACUGAAUGGUUUCAGAUUGAUUUAUUGCAUACUUAGGUUUCAUUUACACUUUUUUGCAGUCACAUUUUUCUUAUAUUU